RNAcentral lists this ribosomal RNA (253 nucleotides) under uncultured bacterium. Its description in RNAcentral is "partial 16S ribosomal RNA". It matches the Rfam family "Bacterial small subunit ribosomal RNA", at positions 524 to 776 of the family's 1533-position model. The record is from RNAcentral.
UACGUAGGUGGCAAGCGUUACUCGGAAUCACUAGGCGUAAAGCGCAGGUAGGAGGUUUGAUAAGUCUGUUGUGAAAGCUCCCGGCUUAACUGGGAGAGGUCAACGGAAACUAUUAGGCUAGAGUGCGGUAGAGGUAGCUGGAAUUCCCGGUGUAGCGGUGAAAUGCGUAGAUAUCGGGAGGAAUACCUAUGGCGAAAGCAGGCUACUGGACCGUCACUGACUCUGAUCUGCGAAAGCUAGGGGAGCAAACAGG